GGGAAUACGCUCUGGAAACGGAGAACAAAUCCCGAUGUACAGGAAGGAGGCAUCUUCUUUCUGUGAAACAUCCUUUAGGGGAUGGGGCGCGGAUGGACCUGCGGUGCAUUAGUUGGUUGGCGGGGUAAAGGCCCACCAAGACGAUGAUGCAUAGCCGGCCUGAGAGGGCGGACGGCCACAUUGGGACUGAGACACGGCCCAGACUCCUGCGGGAGGCAGCAGUAGGGAAUUUUCGUCAAUGGGCGCAAGCCUGAACGAGCGAUGCCGCGUGAGUGAAGAAGGCCUUCGGGUCGUAAAGCUCUGUUGCGGGGGAAAAAAGGCAGCAUCAGGAAAUGGGUGCUGACUGAUGGUGCCCCGCCAGAAAGUCACGGCUAACUACGUGCCAGCAGCCGCGGUAAUACGUAGGUGGCGAGCGUUAUCCGGAAUGAUUGGGCGUAAAGGGUGCGCAGGCGGUCCUGCAAGUCUGGAGUGAAACGCAUGAGCUCAACUCAUGCAUGGCUUUGGAAACUGGAGGACUGGAGAGCAGGAGAGGGCGGUGGAACUCCAUGUGUAGCGGUAAAAUGCGUAGAUAUAUGGAAGAACACCAGUGGCGAAGGCGGCCGCCUGGCCUGUUGCUGACGCUGAGGCACGAAAGCGUGGGGAGCAAAUAGGAUUAGAUACCCUAGUAGUCCACGCCGUAAACGAAAAG
Molecule: ribosomal RNA, 688 nt
Filed under: uncultured bacterium
Lineage: Bacteria
Description: bacterial SSU rRNA
Rfam family: Bacterial small subunit ribosomal RNA
Source: RNAcentral